AUACGUAGGGGGCGAGCGUUGUCCGGAAUGAUUGGGCGUAAAGGGCGCGUAGGCGGCCUGUUAAGUCUGGAGUGAAAGUCCUGUUUUCAAGAUGGGAAUUGCUUUGGAUACUGAUGGGCUUGAGUGCAGGAGAGGUUAUCGGAAUUCCCGGUGUAGCGGUGAAAUGCGUAGAGAUCGGGAGGAACACCAGUGGCGAAGGCGGGUAACUGGACUGCAACUGACGCUGAGGCGCGAAAGUGUGGGGAGCAAACAGGAUUAGAUACCCUGGUAGUCCACGCUGUAAACUAUGAUAACUAUCUUUUAGCGAUACACAGUUAGAGGGUACGAGAAAUCAUUAAGUUAUCCACCUGGGGAUUACGUUCGCAAGAAUGAAACUCAAAUGAAUUGGCGGGG
RNAcentral lists this ribosomal RNA (393 nucleotides) under uncultured bacterium. Its description in RNAcentral is "partial 16S ribosomal RNA". It matches the Rfam family "Bacterial small subunit ribosomal RNA", at positions 523 to 918 of the family's 1533-position model. The record is from RNAcentral.